GGUGCCCACAGAGACGCCCAAGUCGGGGAGAAGGGAGGCGGCCGUUCUCCUCGACCCUGCCAGUCACGAGUACCCUGCAGACCGCGAGCUUUAGAGCGCUCCUCUCGGCGACACGUGACCCAGACCAAAGGAAAAAAAAUCUGGAAAGCAGAAUUAGUGAAUCAGAGGGUCUUUGGAAGGUUAUCCAGGUUCAAAGAAGAGAAGUCUGCUGACCAGACUAUAGAGUUUUGCCAAUCUGAUGGAAAAAUAAUUGGUAUCUGUGGAAGUCAUUUGGUUUCCCCAAACAUUUCCAGUCAUCCCUCCUUCCAAGCAAAUGGUGGGAGGAGCUGCACUUCCUGGUCCCUCGUGGUUGUGUGAGUUCCGGUGCCGUGUACUGAGCAAUGAGUUGUGAAGAGAUGUGUGCCAUUUCCAGGCUGGAGUAAUUAAUCGCUGAUGCAAACACCUCCAUGGCUCUCUGGAAAAGAGACCUACAAUAUUCAGGAAGUGACCAGUGUGUAACUCUGGGAACAUAAGUGAGUAUGAUGAACAGAGCCUCCCACUUGACCUACAGUGGACAUUUAGUGUGAGUGAGAAGUAAAAUUUUGUUGGUAUAAGAUUCUUGGAUGUUGGUGUAACAAUAUAACAUAACCUAUCGUGGUGUAUAAAGUAUCUCAUUUUUGUUGUAAUUUGCAUUUUCCUGCUUACUUAGUGAGGCUAAAUAUCUUUUGAUAUUUUGUUUGCCAUUUUUUAUUCUUUCAUAAAAUACUCAUUUACUGGCUUUUGUCCAUUUUUCAAUUGGUUUCUUUAUCUUUCGCUUAAUGAUUUAUGAGUUCUUGAAACAUUUUAGAUUCUCAUCUUCUGUCGGUUUUGCUUCAAAUUUACACAAUUGAUGGUUUUUCUUUUUAUCCUGUAGUUCUUAAAAAAACUUUAUUUUGGAAAAUUUCAAACAUAUACAAAAGUAGAGAGAAUAGUAUAAUAACCCCCCAUGAAGCCAUAACCCAGCUUCAACAAUUGUUGACUCAUAACCAAUCUGGUUUCAUUUGUAAGUCCUACCUAUUCCCCUCACUUUUGGAUUAUUUUGAAGAAAAUGCCAGACAUCAUGUAAUUUCAUCUGUGUAUCUCUACAGAUAAGGACUCUUUGCUAUUUAGAGGCUCUGCUGUUUGUGUGAACUCUGUUCCAGUGUUUCAACCUGCCCAGGCUAAAGUUUUCUCCCCCCUACUCCAGCCUGAGCUGUAGGUUUCUACAGAGCAUUUGUAUCUUGCCUAACCAGAUAGCUAAAGACAUUUUUGAAAAUCCUUUCUAUUGUAUUGUGUUAAAAGCACUGGAAAUAAUUUAGUUUAGUAUAUUCUCAUGUUGCCUAGAUACUUGCUAGUAGGUGUGUUUUAUACAUGCAUGUUUUUUACACUUGUUUUUUGUCAUUAUCCAUUUUAAUCUAUAAGCUUCCAAAAUGUAUGAACUGUUCCUGUUUGCCUUGUUUAAAAUAAUGCCCAACCCAAUGCGAUUCAGAAUUAAAUAUAUCAUAAAUUCUAUUUAAUGAAAAACAAAGUCCUGUUCCAGGGAAGGAAGAUCUAUUCCUCUACCCUCUAGGUCCUUCCGGAUGGUGUAAGAAUUAAAUUGACAUGAGGCAGAAUAACAGGAGAAUAUCAAAUAAAGUUUAAUAACAUGCACACAUGAGAGAAACCCAGGAAAACCGAGUAACUUGCCGGAAUGGCUGAAGCUGCCACCUUAAAUACCAUCUUCAGAUAAAGACAAAGAGGAUGUUGGGGAUAGUGGUUUGGGAUUUCAAAGGGAGGAAGGCAAUUUACAUGGAGAUGGAAAAGCAAAUGUUUGAUAAACAAAUGUGUGCUGGGCCAUCUAUAGACAAUGUGACCCAAGAGAGAGAACUUUGAUAAAAAUGGGCUUAGCAAGGAUCAUCCCAGUCUAUCAAUCCCAGAGUUAUCUGCGGUGGUGGCCUGUCCUGGGGACAGACCUUCUAUCUUAAAUUCUUUUAGGCAGUUAUGGAGAAGGUCAAAGUUUCUUUCAGAGUCUUUUGUCCUUAAAAAUCAUCAAGCCAAAGAGACACAUUUUUGGGGUGGCAAAUUCUGAUCACCCACACUGGUGUUUGUUAGGACAUGAUGAGGAAAAUGAACUCAGGUCAUGGCUUGAUUUUCACAGGUAAUCCUAAUGGCUGUGAGAAGAAAUCUAUCUCAUGUGGUAUAAAAUGUGGGAUUUUUCUUGUUCUACUCAUUUCAGUUUUCUUUCUUACCUAUGCUAGGUAGUCUAUGCAUUGAAUAUUCAGCAGUAUUGUUUUUUAAAGGCACAUAACUCAAAAUAAAUGGUUGUACUAUGGUUAAAGGCACUACACUGAUAUUACCCUUAUAGGAGAACCUGGAAAGAGCAUUCUUUCACUCCUUUAAAAUGUACCAUCUUAUCAAGUCACUUCUUCUAAAGUACUCAUGUACAGUUUACUUUGUCUUUCAGAGUUUAACAAUUCCAUUUAUAGGCCUCUCUAAAAUAGUGUUUUUAGUUGCUAUUUCAAGUAACACUCCAAUGGUGACUUCUGUCCUAUAUUGUUUUUAUAUGAAUGUCCAAAUACAAUGAUUUUCUGUUAAUUAAAAAUAAAUACAAGUCUUUCGUUGUCAUUUGAUUAUCUUUCACUUCAAAAGGAGGAAGAGAGGAUUAAGCAGCUCACACUGCAUUGAAGAGUAACUGAGAAGAUCCACACAUGGCCACUGGCUUUCUCUGCCUUUUCUUCUUCGGCUUCUGCCUGUUCGCCUGCUUUGGAGGGCUGCCAUUGUCUGCACCUCUACGUCUGUUCCUCAGGGCCUGCUUGACACAUUUGAUCCAGAAAAGCUCCUCCCUUCCCUCUGACGGCUGCCUGCACAGCUGGUGUGCCUGUAGCUCUCCCUGCCCUUAUUCCAGGGGUGUCUGGCAAGGAUAACAAUGGCGUGUCCCUUUGAUCCUUGUCUUUGACCUUCUUGACUGAUCCAGCGCUCCCAGACUUCCAGCUGAUGCUCUCAUUGUCUGGAGUUGUAGUGCAAGGAAUCUUACAGAGGAGAGGAGCUUCUCUGAGCUCUUGAACCUGGUUCUAAUGUGCUUUCCUGGCCACUUUAUGGUUAGCAGUUGAUUGCUGGUGAUGCUAAUGAAACUCUUCCUUUGUUUUAAUAUCUGACGUAUUUCUUUCCAAUCUUCAUUACCAAAGCAACUCUAGGGAACAGCA
Equus caballus (horse) is the source of this 3179-nucleotide long non-coding RNA. RefSeq lists it as uncharacterized. NCBI's taxonomy places the organism in Eukaryota, Metazoa, Chordata, Mammalia, Perissodactyla, Equidae. The record is from RefSeq and is a predicted model, not a curated record.